GAACGAACGCUGGCGGCAUGCCUAACACAUGCAAGUCGAACGAGACCUUCGGGUCUAGUGGCGCACGGGUGCGUAACGCGUGGGAAUCUGCCCUUAGGUUCGGAAUAACUUCGGGAAACUGAAGCUAAUACCGGAUGAUGACGUAAGUCCAAAGAUUUAUCGCCUAAGGAUGAGCCCGCGUUGGAUUAGCUAGUUGGUAAGGUAACGGCUUACCAAGGCUACGAUGGGUAGGGGUCCUGAGAGGGAGAUCCCCCACACUGGUACUGAGACACGGCCCAGACUCCUACGGGAGGCAGCAGUGGGGAAUAUUGGACAAUGGGCGAAAGCCUGAUCCAGCAAUGCCGCGUGAGUGAUGAAGGCCUUAGGGUUGUAAAGCUCUUUUACCCGGGAUGAUAAUGACAGUACCGGGAGAAUAAGCUCCGGCUAACUCCGUG
RNAcentral lists this ribosomal RNA (434 nucleotides) under uncultured bacterium. RNAcentral describes it as "bacterial SSU rRNA". It matches the Rfam family "Bacterial small subunit ribosomal RNA", at positions 27 to 507 of the family's 1533-position model. The record is from RNAcentral.